CAGAUUGUUGCUUUGUUAAAAAAAACUGUUUACACAUUUUUGUCUUCAACAGUUGUUUUAUAUUUUGUUGGCCAAAUUUGUAUUGUUAUUGAACUCUGGUCAGGGGGCCGAUCAAAAUCAUUUCAAGGCCACAAAUGGCCCGCCAGCCACACUUUGGACAUCCCUGGUCUAUGGGCAAUACAAAACAUAUUCAUUAAAUUUUUUAGCACAAAUUCAUUCUUAGAUAACGAGAAUUUGUCUAAAAUACUCGUGUUGAGCGCCAUUCAGAAUGAGCUUUUUUAGGGCUUCUGUCACUUUGAAUCCAAAUAAAUGGUUUAUUUAGCCACGCCCACUAAACUCAACGUUUACACUCACACGUAGAAAUGGCUGAAAACAGAUGCACAAUUAUACAACAUCUUUAAACUUCAUGCAAACGUAUUUUAUGAAUGGUAAACCAAUAGAAAAACACUUUUGCAGUGUGUACAGCGAUAAAGCCAUAGAUGUAUAUUACUGGAUUGGACAUUGCCUGUUAGCCGCUGAAGCUAAUGAGGUGAACGUUCAGGCACCAUUAAUACACAUUGAGUCAUGUCCAAAAAACCAUAUUGUUUCAAUUGCAGGACGAGUAUAAACCUGUCAUAAAAAUAACUGUAUCUGUCGCCCCUGUUUCUUAUCUAAUUUCUAUAAAAUAUGGCUUAAAUUAAAUCUGAGAAGGUUGCUGAUGUAUAAUAUGUACUGUCCCUGGAUAAAGAUCUGGAAACACUUUGGUUUUUGUCAAGAUCCAAGAACAUAUUAAGCAAAUUUCUCUUUUGUAAUGGUCAAUAAUGUAGUUUUACAUUAUUACUGCUGGAUGAGAUGUAGUUUGUUAGAUUUGAACAAACUACGGCUCCUAUGGUUUAUGAACUAUUUUAUCCUGUUUUAUUAUUAUGAAUGUCAUCACAUUCUACGAACAAACGAGGACAUAAGUCCAGUUUUUGUUGUUUAUUGAGCUUUUAGAAAUCACAGUGGCUCCUGGUAAAAUCAGUGCUGCAGUUCCGUUGGCGUUGCUAGGUAACGGGGCUGGGCUGGAGUUGCUAGCUAACGGCCCAGUUUUCUUUUAUUGUGACUUAUAAAUCUGUAAGUUAUUGAAUGGCCUCAUUUUCCAGACACCAGAAAGCAUUAACUUAUUGC
This is a long non-coding RNA of Xiphophorus couchianus (Monterrey platyfish), 1146 nucleotides long. RefSeq lists it as uncharacterized. NCBI's taxonomy places the organism in Eukaryota, Metazoa, Chordata, Actinopteri, Cyprinodontiformes, Poeciliidae. The record is from RefSeq and is a predicted model, not a curated record. The transcript is spliced from 2 exons.